GCCACGGCCAUACCAGCCUGGGUACGCCCGAUCUCGUCUGAUCUCGGAAGCUAAGCAGGGUCGGGCCUGGUUAGUACUUGAUGGGAGACCGCCUGGGAAUACCAGGUGCUGUAAGCA
RNAcentral lists this ribosomal RNA (117 nucleotides) under Salmo salar (Atlantic salmon). Lineage: Eukaryota; Metazoa; Chordata; Actinopteri; Salmoniformes; Salmonidae. The record is from RNAcentral.